AAUUGGAGGGCAAGUCUGGUGCCAGCAGCCGCGGUAAUUCCAGCUCCAAUAGCGUAUAUUAAAGUUGUUGCAGUUAAAAAGCUCGUAGUUGAAUUUCGGGAUUGACGUGAUGGUCGUGCCUUAAGGGGUAUGAACUGUCGCAGUUGAUUUCUCACCUUCUGGAGAAGCAUGAUGUCCUUAAUUGGGUGUCAUGUGGAACCAGGACCUUUACCUUGAAAAAAUUAGAGUGUUUAAAGCAGGCAUUUUGCUCGAAUACAUUAGCAUGGAAUAAUAGAAUAGGACGGCAUGGUUCUAUUUUGUUGGUUUCUAGGAUCACCGUAAUGAUUAAUAGGGAUAGUUGGGGGCAUUAGUAUUCAAUUGUCAGAGGUGAAAUUCUUGGAUUUAUUGAAGACUAACUACUGCGAAAGCAUUUGCCAAGGAUGUUUUUAUUAAUCAAGAACGAAAGUUAGGGGAUCGAAGACGAUCAGAUACCGUCGUAGUCUUAACCAUAAACUAUGCCGACUAGGAAUCAGACGAUGUUAAUUUUUUAAUGACUCGUUUGGCACCUUACGGGAAACCAAAGUGU
This 565-nucleotide ribosomal RNA is filed under the name uncultured Glomus. Its description in RNAcentral is "SSU rRNA". It matches the Rfam family "Eukaryotic small subunit ribosomal RNA", at positions 546 to 1106 of the family's 1831-position model. The record is from RNAcentral. Lineage: Eukaryota; Fungi; Glomeromycota; Glomeromycetes; Glomerales; Glomeraceae.